This 610-nucleotide ribosomal RNA is filed under the name Saccharospirillum salsuginis. RNAcentral's name for it is "bacterial SSU rRNA". It matches the Rfam family "Bacterial small subunit ribosomal RNA", at positions 67 to 667 of the family's 1533-position model. The record is from RNAcentral. Lineage: Bacteria; Pseudomonadati; Pseudomonadota; Gammaproteobacteria; Oceanospirillales; Saccharospirillaceae.
CGGUAACGACACUAGCUUGCUAGUGGUCGACGAGUGGCGGACGGGUGAGUAACGCGUAGGAAUCUACCUAGUAGUGGGGGAUAGCCAAGGGAAACUUUGGGUAAUACCGCAUACGAUCUAAGGAUGAAAGGGGGCCUCUCUUUGAAGCUCUCGCUAUUAGAUGAGCCUGCGUAAGAUUAGCUUGUUGGUGGGGUAAUGGCCCACCAAGGCGACGAUCUUUAGCUGGUCUGAGAGGAUGAUCAGUCACACUGGAACUGAGACACGGUCCAGACUCCUACGGGAGGCAGCAGUCGGGAAUAUUGGACAAUGGGGGAAACCCUGAUCCAGCCAUGCCGCGUGUGUGAAGAAGGCCCUAGGGUUGUAAAGCACUUUUAGUAGUGAGGAAGGCUCAGUAGUUAAUACCUACUGGGAUUGACGUUAGCUACAGAGAAAGCACCGGCUAAUUUCGUGCCAGCAGCCGCGGUAAUACGAAAGGUGCAAGCGUUAAUCGGAAUUACUGGGCGUAAAGCGCGCGUAGGCGGCUUGGUAAGUUGGAUGUGAAAGCCCCGGGCUCAACCUGGGAACUGCAUCCAAAACUGCCUAGCUAGAGUAUGGUAGAGGAUGGCGGAAU